GGGAACUGAGGAUAAUACCCCAUAGGUCUUCUCUGCUGGAAUGCUUGAAGGCCGAAAACUCCGGUGCCUUAGGAUUGGUCUGCGGCCUAUCAGGUUGUAGUGGGUGUAAUGGACCCACUAGCCCGUGACGGGUAUGGGCCUUGAGAGAGGGAGCCCAGAGAUGGACUCUGAGACAUGAGUCCAGGCCCUACGGGGCGCAGCAGUCGCGAAAACUUCGCAAUGGGGGCAACCCCGACGAGGGAAUUCCAAGUGCCAGCACUUUGUGUUGGCUGUUCUCCUGUCUAAAAAACAGGAGGAGUAAGGGGCGGGUAAGACGGGUGCCAGCCGCCGCGGUAAUACCCGCGCCCCUAGUGGUGGUCGAUAUUAUUGAGCCUAAAACGUCCGUAGCCGGUCUUUUAAAUCUUUGGGCAAAUCGGGCAGCUUAACUGUCCGACUUCCGAGGAGACUGGAAGACUUGGGACCGGGAGAGGUCAGAGGUACUUCUGGGGUAGGGGUAAAAUCCUGUAAUCCUGGAAGGACCACCGGUGGCGAAGGCGUCUGACUAGAACGGAUCCGACGGUGUGGGACGAAGCCCUGGGGCGCAAACGGGAUUAGAUACCCCGGUAGUCCAGGGUGUAAACGCUGCGGGCUUGGUGUUGGGGGUCCUUCGUGGGCGCCCAGUGCCGGAGAGAAGUUGUUAAGCCUGCUGCUUGGGGAGUAUGUCCGCAAGGAUGAAACUUAAAGGAAUUGGCGGGG
Molecule: ribosomal RNA, 735 nt
Filed under: uncultured archaeon
Lineage: Archaea
Description: bacterial SSU rRNA
Rfam family: Archaeal small subunit ribosomal RNA
Source: RNAcentral